GUGGCGAACGGGUGAGGAACACGUGAGAAACCUGCCUCGGAUUUUGGGAUAACAAAUGGAAACGUUUGCUAAUACCAAAUAACGUCGGAGAGCCUCAUGGCUUUCUGACGAAAGGAAUUCCGAUUCGAGAGGGUCUCGCGGCCUAUCAGCUAGUUGGCGGGGUAAUGGCCCACCAAGGCAACGACGGGUAGCUGGUCUGAGAGGAUGGUCAGCCACACUGGGACUGAGACACGGCCCAGACUCCUACGGGAGGCAGCAGUGGGGAAUCUUGCGCAAUGGGCGAAAGCCUGACGCAGCAACGCCGCGUGCGGGAAGAAGGCUUUCGGGCUGUAAACCGCUUUCAGCAGGAACGAAAAUGACGGUACCUGCAGAAGAAGGAGCGGCCAACUAUGUGCCAGCAGCCGCGGUGAUACAUAGGCUUCAAGCGUUGUCCGGAUUUAUUGGGCGUAAAGAGUUCGUAGGCGGUCAAGUAAGUCGGGUGUGAAAAUUCUGGGCUCAACCCAGAGACGCCACUCGAUACUGCUUAACUUGAGUUCGAUAGGGGAGUGGGGAAUUCCUAGUGUAGCGGUGAAAUGCGCAGAUAUUAGGAGGAACACCGGUGGCGAAGGCGCCACUCUGGAUCGAUACUGACGCUGAGGAACGAAAGCAUGGGUAGCAAACAGGAUUAGAUACCCUGGUAGUCCAUGCCGUAAACGGUGGGCACUAGGUGUGGGUUUCUAUUAACGAAAUCCGCGCCGUCGCUAACGCAUUAAGUGCCCCGCCUGGGG
RNAcentral lists this ribosomal RNA (767 nucleotides) under uncultured bacterium. RNAcentral's name for it is "bacterial SSU rRNA". It matches the Rfam family "Bacterial small subunit ribosomal RNA", at positions 95 to 878 of the family's 1533-position model. The record is from RNAcentral.